This 206-nucleotide ribosomal RNA is filed under the name Enterobacter cloacae. RNAcentral's name for it is "partial 23S ribosomal RNA". It matches the Rfam family "Bacterial large subunit ribosomal RNA", at positions 2110 to 2315 of the family's 2925-position model. Lineage: Bacteria; Pseudomonadati; Pseudomonadota; Gammaproteobacteria; Enterobacterales; Enterobacteriaceae. The record is from RNAcentral.
CUUGACACUGAACACUGGUCCUUGAUGUGUAGGAUAGGUGGGAGGCUUUGAAGCGUGGACGCCAGUCUGCGUGGAGCCGUCCUUGAAAUACCACCCUUUAAUGGCUGGUGUUCUAACGUAGACCCGUUACCCGGGUUGCGGACAGUGUCUGGUGGGUAGUUUGACUGGGGCGGUCUCCUCCCAAAGAGUAACGGAGGAGCACGAAG